AUUAUUUUUGGUUCAUAAGCUUGAUGAUUGCGUAUUUACGCCAUUGUGUGAGAUGCACCUCUCUCAAAUCUUACAAUAUCAGCACAUUACUCAUCUGAUA
Molecule: small nucleolar RNA, 100 nt
Organism: Nannospalax galili (Upper Galilee mountains blind mole rat)
Lineage: Eukaryota; Metazoa; Chordata; Mammalia; Rodentia; Spalacidae
Product: small nucleolar RNA U13
Exons: 1
Source: RefSeq, a predicted model, not a curated record